UUAUUUGGNNUAAGCGAGANCAGGCGGUUUUUUAAGUCUGAUGUGAAAGCCUGGAGCUCAACUGAAGAAGUGCAUNNGAAACUGGCAUACUGAGUGCAGNAGAGGACAGUGGAACUCCAUGUGUAGCGGUGAAAUGUNGUAGAUAUAUGGGAGNACACCAGUGGCGAAGGCGGCUNUCUGGUCUGUACUGACGCUGAGGCUCGAAAGUAUGGGUAGCAAACCAGGAUUAGAUACCCUGGUAGUCCAUCCCGUAACGAUGAAUACUAAGUGUUGGAGGGUUUUCGCCCUUCAGUGGCUGCAGCUAACGCAUUAAGCAUUCCGCCUGGGGAGUUCGCCCGCAAGGUUAAAACUCAAAGNAAUGGNGGGGGGCUCCCCCAGCGGGUGGACCAUGGGUUUUAUUUGGAACAUCCNGGAAGACCCUUCCCAGGUUUUGNCNNUCUAUGCAAAUGUAAGAGAUUCCUCUUUUCCUUUGGGGGCAUGGANNCAGGUGGUGCAUGGUUGUUGUCAGCUCGUGUCGUGAGAUGUUGGGUUAAGUCCCGCAACGAGCGCCACCCCUAUCAUCAGUUUCCCGCCUUUAGUUGGGCACUNCUAAGAGACCGCCGGUGACAAACCGGGAGGAAGGGGGGAAGGNGUUCAAUNCUCCAUCCCCCUAUCGCNNGGGCNNCCCCCNNGGCNCCAAGGNCGGUACCAGNGNNNAGCAACUCGGGAGAGUAAGCNAAUUUNNCAAA
This 728-nucleotide ribosomal RNA is filed under the name bacterium DB_16s_R8. RNAcentral describes it as "partial 16S ribosomal RNA". It matches the Rfam family "Bacterial small subunit ribosomal RNA", at positions 551 to 1280 of the family's 1533-position model. The record is from RNAcentral.